CUGGAACACUUGGUCUAUGCUGACCUACCCUUAUACUCCAACUCAGAGCUUCAACAUGCGUACUUUGACACAAAGUAUGUGAUACUAAGUGUUACAACCAACAUGGUUCACAUAUCAAAAGCAUGGAUCCCUUCAUGCAAAGCAAAACAUUCAUAAGCAUCACUCAUAUCAAUCAACAUAAACAUUAUACAUUCUAACACAUUCAUACAUAAACAUCAUACAUUCCAACACAUUCAUACAUAAACAUCAUACAUUCUAACACAUUCAUACAUAAGCCAAUUGUGCUUCGAAAGGGUUCAACAUACUUUGUGUCUUCGACACUUGCUACAAUGUGCCUCGACACCUUGCCCUUAUUCUCACCAACCAGGUGAUGAAAUGUGAAGAAUGAACUCAUUUAUCAUUUGGCAACUUGCCACUCAUGCCACCAAUUAGGUGAAGAAGGAACUCAUCUUCAUGCCACCAACCAGGUGAUGAAAUGUACAACCCGUACUUUCCUUCAUGCCACCAACCAGGUGAUGAAAUGUACAACCCAUACUCUAAUAUCAUUUGGUAACUUGCCACUCAUGCCACCAACCAGGUGAUGAAAUGUACAACCCGUACUCUAAUAUCAUUUGGCAACUUGCCAUUCAUGCCACCAACCAGGGGAAGAAGGAACUUAUCCUCGUGCCACCAACCAGGUGAUGAAAUGUGAUGAAAGGUGAUGAAGGAACUCACAUUCGUACCACCAACCAAGUGAUGAAAGCAACUCACCAUUCAUUCCACCUACCAGAAGACGAGUGAUACAACUUGUACAUGUGAACUCCUAGCAUUCACAAAUAAUCAAAAACCCUCAAGCUUGACAACUCAACUAGGGGAGCACUUAUGCCCAACAAGAGUUAUAGCCACCAACAAAGUCUUAUUGCAAGCCAACAACAACCUCAAUGCAUGGCAUACAAAGAUCAAACUAUUCAGCCCUCUUGCAUCUGCUUCAAACAUUUCCCCUCUGUAACAAUGCAAACACUACAACUCGUAGAAAGCUUCACACACUCUUGAUCAAGACAGUGUGAAGCAAAACCAAUUUAUGGUGCCAACAAGAGUUUCAUUAAAGGAGUUCAACCAUAAUUCUCAAAAGCUUCACACACUCUUGAUCAAUACAAUGUGAAGCAAAACCAAUUUAUGGUGCCAACAAGAGCUUCAUCAAUGGAGGGCAACCACAAUUCUCAAAAGCUUCACACACUCUUGAUCAAGACAGUGAAUUCUCAAAAGCUUCACACACUCUUGAUCAAGACAGUGUGAAGCAAAACCAACUUAUGGUGCCAACAAGAGCUUCAUCAAUGGAAGGCAACCACAAUUCUCAAAAGCUUCACACACUCUUGAUCAAGAUAGUGUAAAGCAAAACCAAUUUAUGGUGCCAACAAGAGCUUCAUCAAUGAAGGGCAACCACAAUUCUCAAAAGUUUCACACACUCUUGAUCAAAACAGUGUGAAGCAAAACCAAUUUAUGGUGCCAACAAAAGCUUCAUCAAAGGAGUAUUCUUAAAAGCUUCACAGACUCUUGAUCAAGACAGUGUGAAGCAAAACCAAUUUAUGGUGCCAACAAAAGCUUUAUCAAUGGAGGGCAACUACAAUUCUCAAACAUUCGAAGCAAAUUCAAGACUGUUCGAAGCAAAUUCAAUUUAUAUGGUUCAUCCAAACCUUUGACUACUACAAGGUGUGGCUUGCAUCACAAUCUCUUGCUCAACAGUAUGGAAGAAAAAUUUGUAUAUGUUGUCUCUCCCACAUUUUCAAAUAUCUAGUUUCCCAAAAAAAAAAAAAAAGGGAAAUUCAACAAAGCUUCAUCAAUGGAGGACAACUACAAAUUCUCAAAAGCUUCACACUAUCCUGAUCAAGAUAGUGUGAAGCAAAAUCAAUUCGUGGUACCCAACAAAAGCUUCACCCAUAAAAGCUUCACCAACAAAAGCUUUAACUCCAAAGCUUCACGUACAAAAGCUUCACCCACAAUAGCUUCACCUACAAAAGCUUCACCCACAAAAGCUU
RNAcentral lists this long non-coding RNA (2015 nucleotides) under Malus domestica (apple). RNAcentral's name for it is "long non-coding RNA (MDOM_LNC013819)". Lineage: Eukaryota; Viridiplantae; Streptophyta; Magnoliopsida; Rosales; Rosaceae. The record is from RNAcentral.